CAGGCGUAACAGACUCUAACGAAAAGAGCAUGGACUGGAGGAUAUACUUCCUUGUCAUUCCAGUGGUAAACGGAGCACGUGCCCUCACCUGUUUACAAUGUAAAGGUGUCUCUCAGCCUCGCCAUUGCACUAUCGUAGAUGAAUGCUACCCAGGCGAGGUAUGUGGUGUUGAAAAGGUUAGAAACACGCUUGGUCAUACCGUCUACAAUGUUGGGUGCAUGAUACAAU
Molecule: long non-coding RNA, 228 nt
Organism: Mercenaria mercenaria
Lineage: Eukaryota; Metazoa; Mollusca; Bivalvia; Venerida; Veneridae
Exons: 3
Source: RefSeq, a predicted model, not a curated record